CAAAGAGAUUCAAAUGGUGAUGAAUGAGCUGGAUGAGGAGAAAAGGAAUCACUUGUCAUUACAGAUGGACGUGGCACAGAUGAAGAAGCACAAGUCUAAAUGAGCAGGCAAGCUCAAACAGCAUGGCAUCACCAACAAUGCCAGAACAAGUGGUAAUCUGUCUCUUAGAAUGUUCUCUCAAAAUUAAGUAUCAAUGAAAUCCAGACAGGAAGUUGCUGUAUAGUAUCAAUCAUUUAUGAAACAACAGGAAAACUAUAGGGAAUAUUUUAUUAAAUAUAAUGAACAAUCUUUGUUGUCUAUUUGAGAAAAGUUGAUGUAACAAAUGUAACAAAAUAAAACUAAUGAGCAUCUUCUACAAAAACAUUUUAUAUCAGCUUAUUAUGUGACAUUUUUUAAUAAAAUAAAAACAAAAAAACAA
Oncorhynchus masou masou (cherry salmon) is the source of this 418-nucleotide long non-coding RNA. RefSeq lists it as uncharacterized. The transcript has 2 exons. The record is from RefSeq and is a predicted model, not a curated record. Lineage: Eukaryota; Metazoa; Chordata; Actinopteri; Salmoniformes; Salmonidae.